CCUACGGGAGGCUGCAGUGAGGAAUAUUGGUCAAUGGGCGCGAGCCUGAACCAGCGAAGUAGCGUGAAGGAUGACUGCCCUACGGGUUGUAAACUUCUUUUAUAAAGGAAUACAGUGAGGCACGUGUGCCUUUUUGUAUGUACUUUAUGAAUAAGGAUCGGCUAACUCAGUGCCAGCAGCCGCGGUAAUACGGAGGAUCCGAGCGUUAUCCGGAUUUAGUGGGGUUAAGGGGAACGUAGAUGGGUUGUUAAGUCAGUUGUGAAAGUUUGCGGCUCAACCGUAAAAUUGCAAUUGAUACUGGCAGUCUUGAGUACAGUUGAGGUAGGCGGAAUUCGUGGUGUAGCGGUGAAAUGCUUAGAUAUCACGAAGAACUCCGAUUGCGAAGGCAGCUUACUAAACUGCCACUGACAUUGAUGCGCGAAAGUGUGGGUAUCAAACAGGAUUAGAUACCCGAGUAGUC
RNAcentral lists this ribosomal RNA (460 nucleotides) under uncultured bacterium. RNAcentral's name for it is "partial 16S ribosomal RNA". It matches the Rfam family "Bacterial small subunit ribosomal RNA", at positions 338 to 795 of the family's 1533-position model. The record is from RNAcentral.